RNAcentral lists this ribosomal RNA (365 nucleotides) under uncultured eukaryote. RNAcentral describes it as "partial 18S ribosomal RNA". It matches the Rfam family "Eukaryotic small subunit ribosomal RNA", at positions 592 to 976 of the family's 1831-position model. The record is from RNAcentral.
CAAUAGCGUAUAUUUAAGUUGUUGCAGUUAAAAAGCUCGUAGUCGGAUUUUGGCUGAGAACGAACGGUCCGCCGUUAGGUGUGCACUGUUUGGUCUCAGCUUCCUGGUGAGGAGGUGUGCUUCACGGCCACUUAGUCACCGUGGUUACUUUGAAAAAAUUAGAGUGUUCAAAGCGGGCUUACGCUUGAAUAUAUUAGCAUGGAAUAACACCAUAGGACUCCUGUCCUAUUUCGUUGGUCUCGGGACGGGAGUAAUGAUUAAGAGGAACAGUUGGGGGCAUUCGUAUUUCAUUGUCAGAGGUGAAAUUCCUGGAUUUAUGAAAGACGAACUUCUGCGAAAGCAUUUGCCAAGGAUGUUUUCAUUGA